Molecule: ribosomal RNA, 117 nt
Filed under: Nannospalax galili (Upper Galilee mountains blind mole rat)
Lineage: Eukaryota; Metazoa; Chordata; Mammalia; Rodentia; Spalacidae
Source: RNAcentral
GUCUGGGGCCAUACCACUGUGAAUGUACCCAUUCUCAUCUGUUCUUAGAAACUAAGCAGGAUCAGGCCCAGUACUUACAUGGGAGAAUCCAAAAGAUAGAAUGAAACACACUGCACU